UAAACGGACCAUCGAGUAUCCAUUGGAGGGCAAGUCUGGUGCCAGCAGCUGCGGUAAUACCAGCUCCAAUAGCGUAUAUUAAAGUUGUUGCAGUUAAAAAGCUCGUAGUUGGACUUGUGUGCGCUGUCCGCGGGUGGCCUGCGCCCAAAAGGGCGUUUCGGUUCGGCCCCGGUGGCGCCUUGAAAUCUGCAGCUGGGGGGACGUUGGCCUUAACUGGUCGGCGACCGCACGCCGGCUGCUCGGUUACUGUGAGAAAAUUAGAGUGUUCAAGGCAGGCAUUGGGUGCAAUUGAAUACAUUAGCAUGGAAUAAUAAAAUAUGGCUCCUGCCGUAUUUUGUUGGUUUUGACUGGUGGGAGUAAUGAUUGAUAGGGACGGUUGGGGGUGCUAGUAUUGAGCGGCCAGAGGUGAAAUUCAUGGAUUCGCUCAAGACUAACUUAUGCGAAAGCAUUCACCAAGGACGUCCUCUUUAAUCAAGAACGAAAGUUGGGGGAUCGAAGACGAUCAGAUACCGUCGUAGUCUCAACCAUAAACUAUGUCGACUUGGGAUCGGCGGUAGUUUUUUCAUUAAGACACUGUCGGGACCACGGGAGAAAUCAAAGUGUCUGGACUCUGGGGGAAGUAUGGUCGCAAGGCUGAAACUUGAAGGAAUUGACGGAAGGGCACCACCAGGAGUGGAGCCUGCGGCUUAAUUUGACACAACACGGGGAAACUUACCAGGUCCAGAGAUGUAGAGGAUUGACAGAUUGAAGCUCUUUCUUGAUCACUUCGGUGGUGGUGCAUGGCCGUUCUUAGUUGGUGGAGUGAUUUGUCUGGUUAAUUCCGUUAACGAACGAGACCUCAGCCUGCUAGUGUAGUCGGCUGGAUUGCCUUUGGCGAUCCGUGAUUUCGACUUCUUAGAGGGACAAUCGACGCGCAGUCGAUGGAAGUUUGAGGCAAUAACAGGUCUGUGAUGCCCUUAGAUGUUCUGGGCCGCACGCGCGCUACACUGCUGGGCUCAGCGAGUUUUACUUGGCCGAGAGGCCCGGUUAAUCUUGUGAAAUCCCAGCGUGCUUGGGCUCGCCUCCUGCAACUGGAGGCGCCAACGAGGAAUUCCUAGUAGACGCAGGUCAUCAACCUGCAUCGAUUACGUCCCUGCCCUUUGUACACACCGCCCGUCGUUCCAUAAGAGUGAGGCAUCCGGUGAAUUCUCGGGAGAGCCUGGGCGUGGCCAGCAAUGGUCUGCUCGGGUUUGAACUUGCAUAAACUUGGUGCCUAUGAUUAGGG
Molecule: ribosomal RNA, 1264 nt
Filed under: metagenome
Description: SSU rRNA
Rfam family: Eukaryotic small subunit ribosomal RNA
Source: RNAcentral